GGGGGUGAACGGUCUCGACUUUAGAUGUUGGGAUAGGUGAAGCGGGCCGAGGAAGCCGGGAUGAUCUCGUAAACCAAUAACCCUGGCAAAAAACUAAGCGCCAGUACAACUGCCGCUGAUUACGCCUUCGCUGCAUAAGCGAACCUCGUAAUCCGUUAGACCAAGUGUGCUCUCGACUUGGAACCUAGCGUCGCUAGAGAGCUCACCUGCUGGUGGUGUUAUAGACACUAAUGGGGAAAUCAAUCUGUAACUGAGUUCGUUGACUACUUGUGAUCGAGAGAGUCAGGACUGAGAAAACGAUUAUGACCACUACGCCCGUAGAAGCCCUAUGUCAGUACUAGAGGACCCGGGUUCGAUUCCCGGCACCUCCACCA
This 374-nucleotide transfer-messenger RNA is filed under the name Candidatus Nanopelagicaceae. Its description in RNAcentral is "AAA044-D11 sp009698045 Standard tmRNA". It matches the Rfam family "transfer-messenger RNA". From Rfam's summary of the family: Bacterial tmRNA, also known as 10Sa RNA or SsrA, is named for its dual tRNA and mRNA-like properties. Its role is to liberate the mRNA from a stalled ribosome. The record is from RNAcentral. Lineage: Bacteria; Bacillati; Actinomycetota; Actinomycetes; Candidatus Nanopelagicales. RNAcentral also lists the same sequence under 3 other names.